This 807-nucleotide ribosomal RNA is filed under the name Microbacterium sp. Its description in RNAcentral is "bacterial SSU rRNA". It matches the Rfam family "Bacterial small subunit ribosomal RNA", at positions 67 to 883 of the family's 1533-position model. The record is from RNAcentral. Lineage: Bacteria; Bacillati; Actinomycetota; Actinomycetes; Micrococcales; Microbacteriaceae.
CGAUGAAGCCCAGCUUGCUGGGCGGAUUAGUGGCGAACGGGUGAGUAACACGUGAGCAACCUGCCCCUGACUCUGGGAUAACAGCCGGAAACGGUUGCUAAUACCGGAUACGCAUCAUGGCCGCAUGGUCUGUGGUGGGAAAGAUUUCUCGGUUGGGGAUGGGCUCGCGGCCUAUCAGCUUGUUGGUGAGGUAGUGGCUCACCAAGGCGUCGACGGGUAGCCGGCCUGAGAGGGUGACCGGCCACACUGGGACUGAGACACGGCCCAGACUCCUACGGGAGGCAGCAGUGGGGAAUAUUGCACAAUGGGCGGAAGCCUGAUGCAGCAACGCCGCGUGAGGGACGACGGCCUUCGGGUUGUAAACCUCUUUUAGCAGGGAAGAAGCGAGAGUGACGGUACCUGCAGAAAAAGCGCCGGCUAACUACGUGCCAGCAGCCGCGGUAAUACGUAGGGCGCAAGCGUUAUCCGGAAUUAUUGGGCGUAAAGAGCUCGUAGGCGGUUUGUCGCGUCUGCUGUGAAAUCCCGAGGCUCAACCUCGGGUCUGCAGUGGGUACGGGCAGACUAGAGUGCGGUAGGGGAGAUUGGAAUUCCUGGUGUAGCGGUGGAAUGCGCAGAUAUCAGGAGGAACACCGAUGGCGAAGGCAGAUCUCUGGGCCGUUACUGACGCUGAGGAGCGAAAGGGUGGGGGAGCAAACAGGCUUAGAUACCCUGGUAGUCCACCCCGUAAACGUUGGGAACUAGUUGUGGGGGCCUUUCCACGGUCUCCGUGACGCAGCUAACGCAUUAAGUUCCCCGCCUGGGGAGUAC